GCAUCUGUAGUGCAGUGGUUAGCAUAUCUGCUUCCCAUCGUGGAAUUAGCAGGGGGUCGCGAGUUCGAACCUCGCCAGAUGCA
Lizonia empirigonia is the source of this 83-nucleotide non-coding RNA. The record is from the annotation of a GenBank genome assembly. NCBI's taxonomy places the organism in Eukaryota, Fungi, Ascomycota, Dothideomycetes, Pseudoperisporiaceae.